GAUGAACGCUAGCUACAGGCUUAACACAUGCAAGUCGAGGGGAAACGACAGAGGAAGCUUGCUCCUUUGGGCGUCGACCGGCGCACGGGUGAGUAACGCGUAUCCAACCUUCCCGCAAGUAAGGGAUAACCCGUAGAAAUGCGGCCUAAUACCUUAUGUUUUCCUUAGAGGGCAUCUGAUGAGGAACAAAGAUCCGUCGCUUGCGGAUGGGGAUGCGUCUGAUUAGUUAGUCGGCGGGGUAACGGCCCACCGAGACGACGAUCAGUAGGGGUUCUGAGAGGAAAGUCCCCCACAUUGGAACUGAGACACGGUCCAAACUCCUACGGGAGGCAGCAGUGAGGAAUAUUGGUCAAUGGGCGGAAGCCUGAACCAGCCAAGUAGCGUGCAGGACGACGGCCCUAUGGGUUGUAAACUGCUUUUAUGCGGGGAUAAAGUGGGCCACGCGUGGCCUUUUGCAGGUACCGCAUGAAUAAGGACCGGCUAAUUCCGUG
RNAcentral lists this ribosomal RNA (491 nucleotides) under uncultured bacterium. RNAcentral describes it as "bacterial SSU rRNA". It matches the Rfam family "Bacterial small subunit ribosomal RNA", at positions 28 to 507 of the family's 1533-position model. The record is from RNAcentral.